AGGUAGGUCCAGUCCCCUCCUCCCAGGCCAAGCCAAGCGAUCCUGCAUAGGCCCCAGGUUUCAAACAGCCAACUCAUACAAUGAGCACAGGACCCAGUCCCACUGCCUGGAUGCCUCCCAAACAAAUCAGGCCAAUCAACUGUCUCACCCAUUCAGAGGGCCUGAUCCAGUUGGGGACCCCUCAGCCAUUGGUUCAUAGUACAUGUGUUUUCAUUCGUUUGGCUAUUUGUCCCUGUGCUUUAUCCAACCUUGGUCUCAACAAUUCUCGCUCAUAUAAGCCCUCCUCAUUCUUGCUAAUUGGACUCCCAGAGAUCCACCCAGGGCCUAGUCAUGGAUCUCUGCAUCCAGAUCCCUCAGUAGUUGGAUGAGGUUUCUAGCACGACAAUUAGGGUGUUUGGCCAUCCCUUCACCAGAAUAGGUCAGUUCGGGCUGUCUCUCGACCAUUGCCAGCAGUCUGUUGUGUGGGUAUCUUUGUGGAUUUCUGUGGGCCUCUCUAGCACUUUGCUUCUUCCUAUUCUCAUGUGGUCUUCCAUUACCAUGGUCUCCUAUUCCUUGUUCUCCCUCUCUGUUGUUGAUCCAGCUGGGAUCUCCCACUCCCCCAAGCUCUCUUUCCCUCGACCCUCGCCUUUCACUACCCCCACUCAUGUCCAGGCUGUUCAUGUAGAUCUCAUUCCAUUUCUCUGUCAUUGGGCGAUCCCCAUGUCUUUCUUGGGGUCCUGUUUUCCAAGUAGCCUCCCUGGUGAUGUAAGUAGCAGACAAGUCAUCCUUGUUCCACAUCUAGUAUCUUGCUAUGAUUCAGAUGCAAGUAAAUGAUUAAGAAAAUUUUAAAGAGUCAGAAUAAAUCCAAAGUAUUAUGAGAAUAGUGGCAAUAGAAUAGUUCAUUAAUUUUGAUUUUUCUUCUGUCCUAUAUCAGGUGACUCUUCUGACAUGAUAGAGAUAUUUUGUAUUUUCUUCUAACAAGCAUGCUUGAGUUUAGAGGAGAAAGUCAUGCUCCAACUCCAAAGCCAGCUUUAAUUUUUAAUUGAACUGAGACUACAUGAAGACCAUUUGCAUUAUGUGUCUGUAGAGAACAUCAGAAAAAAACAUUUAGGAAGACUUAUGAAAUUGUUUCCUGUUAGAUAUGUGAUAUACCAAUAGGCCAAUUUACUCUUUUUCUUGGAACAUUUUUUUUUCUGGAAGAUUUGUCCUUUUUCUUCAGAUGUCUCAUUUGUCCAUGUUCUUCUGAUUCCUUAGCCUUCAUUCUCCUGAAAGACAAAAACAAAUCCCUUCCCCAACCUGAACUUUGUAGAGGUUCCCUUUGGGCAAGUUAUAGCUGAUUAAAUGAAAAGCAUUUGUUAGUGGUAUAAGUUAGUUUAAAUUGAAUGGUCAUGCUGGUUCAUGAACUAACUCCUCUUCUAAUUAAGAGGUAUCUCCUGUUCAAAUUGUACCUUUACUAAUUUUUGUGGUAUCCACAGCUUUUCUUCUCCUGUAGAAACAAAAGCAAAACCUCAUCCCCAACAUAAUACAUAUCCUGGUUUCCAUUCUGAAGUCAGCAAAUCUUUAAAGUACAUAGGCUGAUUUAAUUCUGUAGUUUUUUUUCUGUUAUUCAAUGUCUCUCCACAGCCAUUGUUUCUUUCUCAUUAGCAUUGAGGAAAUUCAUAGUUAAUAGAGCAUUAUGUAAUCUAUUUCUGGGGGUUUUUGUUACCCCUUUCUGUUUAUUUAGCACAUCCUUUAGAAUUCAAUCUGAUCUUUCUAUGACUGCCUGGCCUGUAGGAUUGUAUGGUAUACCUGUAAUAUGCUUUAUACUGUAAUAAGAAAAAUACUGUUUCAUUUUACCAGAGACACAUGCUGGAGCAUUGUCAUUUUUAAUUUGUACAGGUAUACACAUGAUGGCCAUAACUUCUAGCAAAGGUGUGAUUACAGAAUCAGCUUUCUAGGAAAUCAGAGCAGUUGCCCAUUUAAGUCCUGAAUAGAUAUCAAUGGUGUGGUAUACAUAUUUCAGUUUUCCAAAUUCUAUAAAAUGAAACACAUCCACUUGCCAUAUUUCAUUCCUCUGAGUAUCCUUCCGGUUACAUCCUGCUGGUUUAAUUGUAAAAAGAAUAAGUAGGACAUUUUCUUAUAAUUUCCUUAGCUUGUUGCCAGGUUAUGGAAAAAUCCUUUUUAAAACCCUUACUAUUAAGAUGAUAUUUUUUUUUAAUUCUGAGGCCUCUAGAACUUUUCCUAUCAAUAGUUUAUCAAUCUUAUCAUUAUCUUGUACUAGAGGGCCUGGCAGACCCAUAUGGGAUCAGAUGUAAGUUAUUGUUUUGAUAUAUCUUUCUGUAUGCUGUGAAUAUAUGUUGUUCCCAUUGUUUAAUAAAUAAGCUGCUUUUGCCUAUGGCAAGGCCACUUAAACUCAGGUGGGAAAUCCAAGGAGAGAGACAAGAAAGAGAAAGGUGGAGUCUGGGGGGAUGCCAGCUGCCAUUAGGAAAAAGAAAAUAUGAAGGUACUGGUAAGCCAUGGCCACAUGGCAAUUUGAUGAAUUGAAAUGGAUUAAGUUAUAAGAGCUAGCUGCAAGAAGCCUUUCAUAGGCUAUGCAAUUGGUAAUUAAUAUUAAACAUCUGAAUGAUUAUUUUAUAAGUGGCUGAGGUGCCUUGGGGCUGGGCAGGACUGGAGAAACAUGGGACCAUGUGGCAGGCUGGGACCAGAGAAACCUUCCAACUACAUUUGGAGCCCAGAUGUGGUACUAACAAUUUCUACCUAAAACCUGAGAAAGCUUUAAAAAAUUCUAAAAUGAAACUAAAAAUAGCUUUCUAGUUCUGUCUCUCAGGCAAGCUGUGGUAUGCGGGCUUGAGCUACAAUAUGGCAGGUUUUCAGCCUUUGGGCUUGACCUACAGCAUGGCUGAUUCCUGCCAUGGUACACAGAGGUAUCUCCAAGUCAUGCAGAGCACUGAAUGGUGGAUUUAGCCUUUAUUCAUACAGAUAAAAACAGGUUUAUGGGCCAGCUGCACACAACCUGGUGGCAGCAUGGACCCCAGAAUUGGCAGGGUAAGCAUGUCGCUCCUGGGUACCUCCAUCAUGUUGGUAAGCUGAGGUAGGCAAAGUCAGUAGCCAAGGUUGCUGCUUUUUGCCCUAGCCACACACUUUAACAAUUUAACAUCUCUCCCAGUCAGAGAAGGAUUAUAGAUUCACAAUGAGACUGAUUCAGAUGGAAUAAAACUCUAAACAGUUUACAGUAUGUGUAAAAGUGUAUAUAGGCUUGCAAGAGAGUGGGAAAGGAGUGUAUGCAGUUAUAUAAAGAAAUAGAUAGUUUAAAAAAAUAAUGUCUUUAAAGACAUAGUAAAAGUAAAUAAAAAUAAGCCACAUAAAGAUGGAAAUCACACAGUGUCUGGAUUUUAUUGACUUUGGGAUUUUUAACUGCAGAAAGACAUUUGAUUAUAAAGGCUACUAAGUUAACCCAAUAUGUAUAUUUUAAAAGUAUCUUGACUUCAAAUUUAUGUUUAAGUAUACAUUGCUCUGGAAAAGAGGUUCCGCUUUUCUUUCUACAGAAGAUGAGAACCUAUGGAUUUCUUCCAGGCUAAUAUGGUUUGGUCAGCCAAGACCCCUGGAAAGGUCUCUGAUGACACCUUGGCCCAGAUGAUCCAACAUCCAAAAUCAGCUUCAAAGAAACUGGCUGAGAUGAUCCAUCCUCACAGACUACAGCAAAGAUAUAACUAUAAUUCUUAAUUUUCUCAGGACCCCCAUAGGAUUGCCAGCAACCCCAACCAACAGGAUGUAGUAUAAGCUAUGCCCAAACUUCCAAAAUAUUGUUUAUAAAUGUUUGUUUUUAUUUAAAGUGGGUUGAUUAUAAAUGUAAUCUCUUUCUAAAGAAGAAAAGGGUAUAUGAUAUAGAUAUGAUUGGAUAAAAGGAUAGAUUAUUGAAUCUACUGUUAAAGAGCAACAACUUGUUUAAAAUAUUUUACAUUACUAUGUAUUUUAGUUUAUUGAUAUAAAUUUAAAUUUAAUUUUGUUAUACUGCAUAUGUAUUUCUACUCUUAAGGUAUUAUGUUUGUACAACUCCUUUGACAUUAUAAUGUAUAAUUAAGAAAUACUGAUUAAUAAUGAAGUCAUCUAUGAUAAUCAAACUAAUAGUUUUUUAGAUAUACAAAGAUAUAUUUCAAUUAGGUAGGUAAUCUUCAAACACUUUAAAGACUUACAGAAUAUCGCAUUCAAAUGCUUUAAAAACUUAAACUUUCUGGAAAACAAGACACAUCUGCUCCUAGCAACACCAGUUUAAUGCAAAGAGGAAGAUGGGCAUCGAAGACACUCCAUAUGGAGUUUAUCUUCUUGGCAAAAAUAGCCAUUUGGUCAAGAGACUGUGUAGCUGAAAGUUUUUCUGUGUCCCACCCAGUCUGCAGCUGCUCAGACGUAAGUAAACACACAGAGGCUCCUAUUAAUUAAAAUAUGGCCACUAGCUCAGGCCUACCACUGACUAGCUCUUACACUUAAACUCAGCCCAUUUCUGUUAAUGUAUAUGUCAUGAUGUGUUCAUGGCUUUACCUGUGUGCCAUUACAUGCUGUUCCCUGGAUGGCAGGCUGGCAUCUCCUGACUCAGCCUUCUUUUCCCAGAAUUCGGUUAGUCUACUUGCCCUGACUACUUCCUGCCUGGCUAUUGACCAAUAGUGUUUUAUUAAAUCAGUCUACAAGGGCAUUAUCCCACAGCACUUCCCCUUUUCUGUCUAAUCAAAAAGGAAGGUUUUAACUUUAACAUAGUAAAAUUAUAUACAACAAACCAUUAUUAAGCAAGCACUACAGUUACAAUAUCUAUUCUAUUUGUAUUUGGCAAAAUUAAAGAAAGUAUCUAUCCUAUAUUUGUGAGUCUAAAGUUUUAUAUCUAAUCUAUCUUUUAUCAUAACCAAGGGAAAUUAUAACUAUCUAGUCUUCAACUACAUCAAAGACAUCAGAAGGAUACAAUAUUACAUAAGUAAAUAGAAAGAACAUUGGAAGCAACUUCCAAAAGUCUAGAAUGACAGAGAUAGCUGGCUGCUCACCCAAAGUUCUUCUGUAAUGUUGGUGCAUCUGUUUUUCAGCCCACAGGCCUAGAGUUUCUCAGAUGCUUCUCUCUGUGUCCUAUGUCUGGCAGUUUCCUCUGCAAAGCAGGAACCUGAAGGACCACCUCUCUUUGCAAAGUUCAGAAGUUCAGUGGUCACUUUCCAUGGGUCCUGCAUUUCCAGUUGACAUAACAUUUUGUCAGCAGUCCAGGCAAGAACAGUUUCUUGACCAAAUGGCUACCUUUGCCAAGAAGAAGAUAACUCCUUAUGGAUUGUCUUUGAUGCCCAUCUUUCUCUUUGAAGUAAAUUGGUGCUGCCAGGAGCAGAUAUGUCUCAUUGUCUAGAAAGUGUAAGUUUUUAAAACAUUUUAAAUGCCAUAUUCUGUAGGCCUUUGAAGUGUUUGAAGAUUACCUACCUAAUUGAAUUAUAUCUAUGUAUAACUAGAAAACUUAGCAUGACUAUAAGUUUGACUAUUGUAGCUAGAGUUUUUUUGGUUUUGCCUGGCCCAUGGUCAGGGCAAAUCUCUAUCACCCACCAGUCCUGCAGCCACUUAGGCCCAACCGAGUAAACAUACAGAGACUUAUAUUGCUUACAAAGUGUAUUGCCACAGCAGGCUUCUUGUUAUUUACUCCUUAUAUCUUAAAUUAACCCAUAUCUAUUAGGCUAUAAGUUGCCAUGUGGCUUGUGGCUUACUGGUACCUUACAUCUCACUUUUCAUAGCAGUGGCUGUUUGUGUCUCUCUAACUCAGUCUUCCUGUUCCCCAAAUUCUUUUCUCUGCUUGUCCCGCCUAUACUUCCUGCCUGGCUACUGGCCAAUCAGUGUUUUAUUUAUUAACCAAUCAAAGUAAUACAUUUAACAUACAGAACAUCCCACAGCAAACUAUCUUAGAAGACUAAUUAUUAAUCUGUAUUUCUUAAUUAUCCACUACAAUUUAAUGAGUUGCAUAAACAUAAUACCUUAAACAAGAGUGUAUAUAUACAUACAUAUAUAUAUACAUAUAUAUAAUAACAAAAUCAACUUUAAAUUUGUAUCAAUAAACUAAAAUCUAUACCAAUGUAAAACAUUUUUAAAUGAGUUGUUGCUCUUUAAAAGCAGAUUCAAUAAUCUACCCUUUUAUCCUAUAUCUAUAUCCUAUCCUCCGUUUCUUUUUUUAGAAGAUAUUGAGUAUGACCAAUAACAAUUUGUAACCAAUCUCUAACAAAGACAAAUAUCCACAGUCCAGUUUUUGGAAAUGUGAGCACAGUUAUUUAGGCUACUUCCUACUGAUAUAGGGUGCUGGUAGUCUUAGGGGGAUCCUUAGAAAAUUCAAGAUAAUGGUCCUGGGAAGACUGGCUAUAACCUUUGUUGAUAGGUACCAUCUGUUAAGAUUCAGAAGGUCUGGCUUGAUCAAAUCUGGUCCAUCUUAACCUGGAACAAAUCCAUAGCCUCUUGCUUCCUGUGGAAACAAAAACAGAGCCUCCUUUUCAAAGCAGCAUAUCCUUAGAUCCAAAUUUUGAAAUCAAAAUACCUUUAACAUAUACAUAUUGGCUUAACUCAGCAGCUUUUACAAUCAAAUGUCUUUUUGUAUUUAAAAAUCCCAAAGACAAUAUAAUCCAGACUCUAUGUGUAACUUCCAUCUUUAUGUGGCUUAUUUUUAUAUUACUUUUACUGUCUUUUCAAAAAGAAAUUAUUUUUUUAAAACUUUUUUAUUUUUAUAUAACUGUCUAUAUUCCCUUUUCUUUUUCUUUCAAGCCUAUGUUCAUUUUUACACACACAGCAAACUGUUUAGAGGUUUAUUUAAUCUGAAUCUGACUUAUUAUGAAUUUAUUGAUUUAAACUGUAGACUGAAAUGGCAGCUUUGGUUGCUGGCUCUGCCCACCUCAGCUUCCCAACAUGGCGGAACUAUGUUUACAGCCAGCUCUGGGGGAACUAAGCUCAUCACUGACUCUGUGAAGCAGUGUGUCUAUGCUUCCAUCCAGCAACGUAUAGCCCAAAUCCCUCUUUUCUGUGUAUUAGCAAAGGCUAAAUCCCCCACACAGUGUACCGUGUGGCUUGGAGAUAACUCUGUGUACCAGGGUGGGAAUCCGCCAUACUGCAUGUCAAGCCCACACACCUUGAAUCUUCCAUAGAGUAGUAACUCAAGCCUGCAGGCUGUUGCUGGCCUGAGAAACACAACUAAUAAGCUGUUUUUAGCCCCAUUUUAAAAUCUUUUUUUUUUUUUUAAAGCUUUCUCAGGUUUUAGGUGGAAACUUUUUCCCCAUGUUGGGUGCCAUUUGUUGUUGAAAGUUUUAUCCCGUGUCCCUUUUGGUCUGCAGCUGCUCAGACCCAAGUAAAUACACAGAGGCUUAUAUUAAUUAAAACUGCUUGGCCAUUAGCUCAGACCUCAGCUCAUUUCUGUAAAUGUAUAUGUGACCAUGUGUUCCAUGGCUCUACCUGUGUGCCAUUACAUGCUGAUCCCUGGACAGCAGGCUGGUGUCUCAUGACUCAGACUCCUCUUCCUAGAAUUCCUUUAGUCUGCUCACCCCACCUCUACUUCCUGCCUGGCUACUGGCCAAUCAGUGUUUUAUUAAACCAGUCUACAAGGACAUUAUCCCACAACAAAACUGCUCUUGCCUGGACUGCUGAUAAUAUGUUGUAUAAUCUGAACAUGCAGGACCCAUAGGAAAAUGAAUGCUGAAUUUGUCAAAAAAAAAAAGGUAAAAUGUUCCUUCAGGUUCCUUCUUCACAGAGGAGUCUACAGAAACAGGGAAAAAUGACUGAGUGACUAGGCCUAUAGGCUAAAAAUGGAUGUCACAAUGUUACAGAGGAACUUUGGAUGACUGUCCAUGCAACCAGUUGUCUCUGUCAUUCUAGAUUUUGGAAGUUACUUACAAUAUUCUUCCUAUUUACUUAGGUAAUAUUACAUCUUUCUGGGGUCUUUGAUGUAGUUGAAUACUAGAUAGUUAUAAUUAUAGUUUUCCUUAGUCAUGAUAAAAGAUAAAUAUUUGAAACCUCAGACUCACAAAUAUACAAUAGAUAGAAUCUUUUCUUUAAUUUUGCCAAAUACUAGCUAUUGUAACUGUAAUUCUUGAUUGAUAACUUUGUUAUAUAUAAUUUUACUAUAUUAAACUUAAAAUCUUCCAUUUUGAUUGGAUAGAAAAGGGAAGUGCUGUGGGAUAUCUUUCUGUACGUUGUGAAAAUAUGUUGUUACCAUUGUCUAGUAAAUAAGCUGCUAUGACCUAUGGCAAGGCAGCUUAGAGGCAGGCAGGAAAUCCAAGGAAAGAGACAGGAAAGAGAAAGGCAGAGUCUGGGGAGAUGGCAGCUAUUGCCAGGAGAAGCAAGAUGUGAAAGUACGGGUAAGCCACAGCCACGUGGCAACUUAUAGAUUAAUAGAAAUGAGUUAAGUUAUAAGAGCUAGCUAGCAAGAAGCCUUCCAUAGGCCAUGCAAAUGGUAAUUAAUAUUAAACCCAUGAAUGAUUAUUUUUUAAACAGCUGUGGGACUGUGGGGCCAGGCAGGACCAGAAAAACCUUCCAACUACAAGUUAUAUAUAAGGAAUGGUUCCUAUUCCUGAUUAUUUCUUGUAACUAAAUAAAUAACAAAGUUAAUUCUGACUCAUCAAGAAUAAAUUCUGAAGUUUCAGUAUGUAAGACCACACUUUCAGCAUACUGAGAGUCAUUAAGUAUGUAGAGAGGUUCCAAAAAAUUCAUUAAUACCAUCAGAAUGGCAUAUAAUUCUGAUUUUUGGACAGAAUUAAAAGGACUUUGAACUUAAAUUUUCUGAUUUGUGACCUGUCUUUCCUUUUUGGUUUGCAUCUGUAUGAAAUGUAGGGAGGGGGGCAUCCAGAUAUUGGUGUUUCCCAUACAAUGCAAGGUGGGAUCAAGUUAGCUCUCUUUAUAAGUUAAUUCUAUCACUUUUUUGGAUAUUUAUUGUUAAUCUCUUCCAAAAAUUUACUGCAAGCUCUUUGCCAAGGUUCACUUUCUUCCCAUAAUUUGUCAAUUUCAUCACUAGAUAAAGGUACUACAAUUUCUGCUUGGUCUAUUCCUGCUUGUAGCUGGAGUUUUCUCCAGUCCUGCCCAGCCCCAUGGACCCCACAACCGCUUAUAAAAUAAGCACACAGACACUUUCAUUAUUUAAACUGUUUGGCCUAAUGGCUCAGGCUUCCUGUUAGCUGUUCUUAUAUCAUAAAUUAACCCACUUCUAUUAAUUUAUACCUUGCCACAUUGCUCGUGGCUUACUGGUACUUUACAUCUUGCUUCUCAUAGCAGCGGCUGGCAGCAUCUUUCUGCCUCCACCUUCCACUUCCCAGACUUCUCCUCUCUCUUUGUCCCACAUAUACUUCCUGCCUGGCUACUGGCCAAUCAGCAUUUUAUUUAUCAAUCAAUCAAUCAUCCACAGCAGUUCCCCUUUUUCUUUUUUCAAAAAGGAAGGUUUUAACUUUAACAUAGUAAAAUUACAUAUAAUAAUUAUCAAGCAAGAAUUACAGUUACAAUAUCUAGUGUAUUUAUAAUAUCUAGUUUAUUUGUAUUUGACAAAAUUAAAGAAUAUAUCCUAUCUAUCUUAUAUUGUGAGUCUAAGGUUUCAUAUCUAACUUAUCUAUUAUCAUAACUAAGGAAAUUAUAACUAUCUAGUUUUCAACUACAAAGACCUCAGAAGGAUAUAAUAUUAUCUGAGAAAUGGGAGACAGACGUUAGCAACUUUUGGGAUUCUUGCAAGAGUAGACAGAGACAGCUGGCAUCCUGGACAGUCACCUAAUGUUCCUUUGUAAAGUCGGGGAAUCUGUCUUUAGCCCACAGGCCUAGAAUCUCUCAGUCAUUUCUCUCUGUGUCCUGUAGAAUGUCUGGCAGUUUCCUCUGUGAAGCAGGAACCUGAAGGACCAUUUUGCCAAGCAAAGUUCAGUGGUCACCUUCCUAUGGGUUCUGCAUGUCCAGUCAAUCAAGCAGUCCAGGCAAGAUCAGUUUUUUUCCUAAAUGGCUAUUUUUGCCAAGAUGAAGAUAAACUCCAUAUGGAGUGUCUUCAGUGCCCAUCCUCUUCUCUGAAGUAAAUUGGUGCUGCCAGGAGCAGACAUGUAUCAUUGUCCAGAAAGUCUAAAUUUUUAAAACAUUUCAAGUACCAUAUUCUGUAGGUCUUUGAAGUGUUUGAUUACCUACCUAAUUGAAUUAUAUCUAUGUAGACCUAGAAAACUUAACAUGACUGUAAGUUUGACUAUCAUAGAGUACUACUUUUUAAUCUGUAUUUCUUAAUUAUCCAUUACAAUCUAAAUGAGAUACAUAAACAUAAUACCUCAAACAAGAGUAGAAAUAUAUAAACAGUAUAACAAAAUCAACUCUAAAUUUGUAUCAAUAAACUAAAAUCUAUAGCAAUGUAAAACAUUUUUAAAUAUGUUGCUCUUUAAAAAUAGAUUCAAUAAGCUUCCCUUUCAUCUUAUCAUAUCUAAACUAUCCCAUUUUUUCUUUAGAAAGACAGUACAUUUAUAAUCAACCUGCUUUAAGUAAAAAUACUGGUUUUUCUCUGUUCCAUAACAGAGGGCUCUUCUGAUAUGGAACAAAAGAAUCUCUCAACUUUUUUUUUAUUUAUUUAUUUAUUUAUUUAUUUAUUUAUUUAUUUAUUUAUUUAUUAGUAAUAUGCUUGUGUUUAGAGAAGGAGUGAGCCAAUUCCAUCUCCAAAUCUAGCUUGGUAUAUUUGGGAAUCUAGACAGAGCUUCUCUUACAGUUUCCUGCUGAAGGAGGGCACUGUAUUCUUAUGGGGACAUAAAGAAAAUUUUAGGAUUAUGGAGUAGUCCAUGAGGUUGUAUUUUCUGAGCCAGUUGCCUUGAAACCAUUCUAGAUGUUGGAUCAUCUGGGCCAUGGUGUCAUCAAAGGCCUUCCAGGGUGUCUUGGCUGGUCAAACCUGAUGUAUCUUAAUCUGGAACAAAUCCAUAGCCUCUCACUUUCUGUGGAAACAAAAGCAGAGCCUCCUUUCCAAAGCAACAUAUCCUUACAUCCAAAUUUUGAAGUCAAGGUACCUUUAAAAUAUCCAUAUUUGUUUAACUCAACAGCUUUUACGAUCAAAUGUUUUCUGCAGUUAAAAAUCCCAAAGACAACACAAUCCAGAUUCUCUGUGUAAUAUCCAAUUUUACGUGGCUUAUUUUUUAUAUUGCCUUUACUGUCUCUUUAAAGACUUUAUUUUUAAAAACUAUGUAUUUCUUUGUAUAACUGUAUAUAUUCCUUUUUCUCUCUGUUCCAAACCUACGUAUAUUUUUACACACAUUGUAAAGCAUUAAAGUCUUGUUUCAUCUGAAUCUGUCUUAUUGUGUAACUAUUGCUUUAAACUGCAGCUUUCUAAGUCUCAGUCUCAAGAGAGAGACUAUUUACUAAUGCCUUAUGUAUCUUUCUGUGUCCUGCCAUCUUACUUCCAUUCUAGUGAUGGGAUUAAAGACAUGCCAUUGAUGCCUGGCUCUGUUUCCAGUGUGACCUUGAACUCACAGAGAUCCAUAUGAAUCUCGGCCUCCAGAAUAUUAGAAUUAAAGGUGUGUGCUACUACUGCCUGACCUCUAUGUUUAACAUAGUGGCUGUUUCUUUUCUUCUGAUCCCUAGAUAAGCUAUAAUGGGAUGCACAAAUAAAAUAUCACUACAAUUAUCAGUGGAUCAUCCUCCAAAGAUGGAGUGAGUGGGUGAAAGCUGUUCCAAACGCUGUCACACAGGAACAGGGACCAGAGGGCUGAAAGCAUGGGACUCAUGAUACUCAGAACUGGGUCUUUCCAUAAUGCCAAAAGUGGGUAGCUGUUCCAGGUUUGACCUGGAAGUACUACCCCCAGUAACUGCCACACCUAUCUAUGAACUGCCCCUGAGGUGGGGCUGAGACAGGAGCACUUAGACCCAAGAUCCGGAUGUGCCAGCUCUCUUGGUUCCUUGUGAUCCUGGAUGCUGGGUGGUAGACCGAGCAGAAUUCUCCAGAGAACACCACUGUACUGCACUUCAUCUCUCCCAGAUCCUAUAACCAACCCUUUUACUGGCUUUAAGUUCCCAAAAUAAACCUUUUUAACUAUG
This is a long non-coding RNA of Peromyscus californicus insignis, 11970 nucleotides long. RefSeq lists it as uncharacterized. Lineage: Eukaryota; Metazoa; Chordata; Mammalia; Rodentia; Cricetidae. The transcript is spliced from 2 exons. The record is from RefSeq and is a predicted model, not a curated record.